CACGGAACGGGACGAACGUUUUCCUUUCUGCUCUCCGAAUAAAGAUUUUACGAUAUGCGAUAUAUUAAAUAAAAUAUUAAAAUAUAAAUAAUUGUUAAAUAAAUAAAAUAUGGAAGUGUAUGAAUAUCGAGUGUAAUAAUUAUUCAUACAUAAAUCGAUAAAAAGGAGAAUUAAAUAUUCAUCGAAUACGAGGAUAAAAUGAAGAACGAAACGAGUCGAAACUUUAAAAAAAAUAAUCUUUUAAUCGAUAAAUACUUAGAGAUUAGAAAAAAAAGAAUAUAAUAAUUAAAAUUGAUAAAUGAAACAAAAAAUUCCAAUUAUUCGAUUCUUUUUAUUUCGUUUCCAAUUUACAUAUUUUUUUUCUCUCUUACAUUUCAAAUAUUAAAAUAUGUAUUAUCGUAUUAAAAUUAGAAAAAAAAAUCGAAAAGUUUAAUAACAUUAUUAUUAAAGAAUUAACAACGUAUUUUAAAUACAAAGUACUUUCUUUAAUCAUUUAAGAUACAUCUCGCUUAAAUUAUUAAUAUUCGCAUUAAUAUUCUAUAGAUUCUAUAGAAUUUUUCUACGCCACGAAUUAUUUUAUAAUUGUAGGUUUCGAAAUGAUUUUCGUACGCGUAAUAAAUUACAUGUUUGCAUCUUUUGUUUUUUUAUGCGAUGAUAAUCGUUCGGUCACUUUUGAUUACGAUUUCGGUCCAACUAAAUUUAUCUUAAUGAUUUUUACAUUAAUUUUAGUCUACUAGAGACUCGUCAUGCGAUUUUUUACCAGUGAUUUUUACAAGUGAUUUUAAUGUCUUCUUAUUUUCUUUUUUUAUACUAUUCGUAAUUAUUUAUUUCGUUGAAUAAUUAAAAAGAAGAAAAAACGAUAAGAAAAUUUACAAAACGGAAAACGAGAUGAUUCUUAUAAAUGAUUUUGUAAAAUUUUGUUCUAUAUUUCAUUAUAUUUUUUGUAAUUAUUUUAAAUUAUUAAAAAAUAUAUAUAUACAUCGUUCGGUAAUAUUUUACGUAAAAUUUUUGUAUAAUAUACAUAAUAUACAUAAAGGAAUCUUACUUGAAAACUAAGAUUUACAAAUGUAACGAAUAAACAUAUGGAACUGAUGGUUGUAUUAGAAAAAUAAAAUAAAAAGACAUUAAUUUCAAAUUCUGCGUACAUAGGAGAUAGUUCGCUGAGGAUUUCACCUGACGAACGAAGAAUGUGAGAAAAGAAAAGAAA
Long non-coding RNA from Apis cerana (Asiatic honeybee), 1207 nucleotides. RefSeq lists it as uncharacterized. NCBI's taxonomy places the organism in Eukaryota, Metazoa, Arthropoda, Insecta, Hymenoptera, Apidae. The record is from RefSeq and is a predicted model, not a curated record.